GGAAGUCACUGUAACAAACACGACAUAUUCAAAUCAUCAUACUUGUAAAGCAUGCCUUCAUGUCUAAACCUGCAAAUUUUUUUUAUCUUUAACAGGGGAACUGAAAUCAAUACCUCCCCCACAUUAUGCGGUUAGCUCCAAAGCUGGAUACAAUUUGAGAGAGGAGAAACAUAGAUAUCACGAUUUAGGAUGAUUUCAAGAGUACAAUAGUAUUAUGAUUGCAUGGACUCGAAGAAGGGGAGCAUGGGAGUCGGUGGUGAAUGGAUUUAGGGAGGAGAACAAAUGAUGGAAAGAUUUCGGUUUACAGGAGAAGAAACCAAGCCAGAUGAUCAGAAUAUCUUUAAGGUCACUUUUACCUGGGGAAAACUUGCAAGCUCCAAAAGCUGGGAAAUUGCAAGACUGUCUUCUUCAUUUCUGCACAAGGUAUCAAUCCAGAGAUUCAAAUAUGAAGAGUUGAAUUCUGUGAGAUGUCAUUGAAACAGCCUUCUCCGUAAUUCCACAAUAGUGAAUCAAGAUGAAGAUAAAUGGGAGGAUUACCUGGAGCAAGAAAUCGAGGUGCCCUGUUAGGGUGGGUUCUUGGCCUGGAAAGUAAGGGUAUUUUGCAGCAGCCUAGAGAGUGAAUCGAGUAAAAU
Molecule: non-coding RNA, 632 nt
Organism: Cucurbita pepo subsp. pepo (vegetable marrow)
Lineage: Eukaryota; Viridiplantae; Streptophyta; Magnoliopsida; Cucurbitales; Cucurbitaceae
Source: RefSeq, a predicted model, not a curated record